GCAGUCGUGGCCGAGUGGUUAAGGCGAUGGACUCGAAAUCCAUUGCGGUUUCCCCGCACAGGUUCGAAUCCUGUCGGCUGCG
This 82-nucleotide transfer RNA is filed under the name Ixodes scapularis (black-legged tick). RNAcentral describes it as "tRNA-Ser". It matches the Rfam family "tRNA". From Rfam's summary of the family: Transfer RNA (tRNA) molecules are approximately 80 nucleotides in length. Their secondary structure includes four short double-helical elements and three loops (D, anti-codon, and T loops). Lineage: Eukaryota; Metazoa; Arthropoda; Arachnida; Ixodida; Ixodidae. The record is from RNAcentral.